This 1441-nucleotide ribosomal RNA is filed under the name uncultured organism. RNAcentral describes it as "SSU rRNA". It matches the Rfam family "Bacterial small subunit ribosomal RNA". The record is from RNAcentral.
GCUUUCGACAGGCUUAACACAUGCAAGUCGAGGGGCAGCACAGGUAGCAAUACCGGGUGGCGACCGGCGCACGGGUGAGUAACGCGUAUGCAACUUACCUAUCAGAGGGGGAUAACCCGGCGAAAGUCGGACUAAUACCGCAUGAAGCAGGGGUCCCGCAUGGGGAUAUUUGCUAAAGAUUCAUCGCUGAUAGAUAGGCAUGCGUUCCAUUAGGCAGUUGGCGGGGUAACGGCCCACCAAACCGACGAUGGAUAGGGGUUCUGAGAGGAAGGUCCCCCACAUUGGUACUGAGACACGGACCAAACUCCUACGGGAGGCAGCAGUGAGGAAUAUUGGUCAAUGGCCGAGAGGCUGAACCAGCCAAGUCGCGUGAGGGAUGAAGGUUCUAUGGAUCGUAAACCUCUUUUAUAAGGGAAUAAAGUGCGGGACGUGUCCCGUUUUGUAUGUACCUUAUGAAUAAGGAUCGGCUAACUCCGUGCCAGCAGCCGCGGUAAUACGGAGGAUCCGAGCGUUAUCCGGAUUUAUUGGGUUUAAAGGGUGCGUAGGCGGCCUUUUAAGUCAGCGGUGAAAGUCUGUGGCUCAACCAUAGAAUUGCCGUUGAAACUGGGGGGCUUGAGUAUGUUUGAGGCAGGCGGAAUGCGUGGUGUAGCGGUGAAAUGCAUAGAUAUCACGCAGAACCCCGAUUGCGAAGGCAGCCUGCCAAGCCAUUACUGACGCUGAUGCACGAAAGCGUGGGGAUCAAACAGGAUUAGAUACCCUGGUAGUCCACGCAGUAAACGAUGAUCACUAGCUGUUUGCGAUACACUGUAAGCGGCACAGCGAAAGCGUUAAGUGAUCCACCUGGGGAGUACGCCGGCAACGGUGAAACUCAAAGGAAUUGACGGGGGCCCGCACAAGCGGAGGAACAUGUGGUUUAAUUCGAUGAUACGCGAGGAACCUUACCCGGGUUUGAACGCAUUCGGACCGAGGUGGAAACACCUUUUCUAGCAAUAGCCGUUUGCGAGGUGCUGCAUGGUUGUCGUCAGCUCGUGCCGUGAGGUGUCGGCUUAAGUGCCAUAACGAGCGCAACCCUUGCCACUAGUUACUAACAGGUAAAGCUGAGGACUCUGGUGGGACUGCCAGCGUAAGCUGCGAGGAAGGCGGGGAUGACGUCAAAUCAGCACGGCCCUUACAUCCGGGGCGACACACGUGUUACAAUGGCGUGGACAAAGGGAAGCCACCUGGCGACAGGGAGCGAAUCCCCAAACCACGUCUCAGUUCGGAUCGGAGUCUGCAACCCGACUCCGUGAAGCUGGAUUCGCUAGUAAUCGCGCAUCAGCCAUGGCGCGGUGAAUACGUUCCCGGGCCUUGUACACACCGCCCGUCAAGCCAUGGGAGCCGGGGGUACCUGAAGUCCGUAACCGCGAGGAUCGGCCUAGGGUAAAACUGGUGACUGGGGCUA